Non-coding RNA from Caenorhabditis elegans, 21 nucleotides. NCBI's taxonomy places the organism in Eukaryota, Metazoa, Nematoda, Chromadorea, Rhabditida, Rhabditidae. The record is from Ensembl.
UUUUUUUUCGGUGUUUCCAUA